UUUCCGUAGGUGAACCUGCGGAAGGACAUUA
Molecule: ribosomal RNA, 31 nt
Filed under: Pythium aphanidermatum
Lineage: Eukaryota; Oomycota; Peronosporomycetes; Pythiales; Pythiaceae
Description: partial 18S ribosomal RNA
Source: RNAcentral